RNAcentral lists this ribosomal RNA (506 nucleotides) under uncultured bacterium. Its description in RNAcentral is "partial 16S ribosomal RNA". It matches the Rfam family "Bacterial small subunit ribosomal RNA", at positions 29 to 523 of the family's 1533-position model. The record is from RNAcentral.
AGUGAACGCUGGCGGUAGGCCUAACACAUGCAAGUCGAACGGCAGCACAGGAGAGCUUGCUCUCUGGGUGGCGAGUGGCGGACGGGUGAGGAAUACAUCGGAAUCUACUCUGUCGUGGGGGAUAACGUAGGGAAACUUACGCUAAUACCGCAUACGACCUACGGGUGAAAGCAGGGGACCUUCGGGCCUUGCGCGAUUGAAUGAGCCGAUGUCGGAUUAGCUAGUUGGCGGGGUAAAGGCCCACCAAGGCGACGAUCCGUAGCUGGUCUGAGAGGAUGAGCGGCCAAACUGGAACUGAGACACGGGCCAGACUCCUACGGGGGGCAGCAGUGGGGAAUAUUGGACAAUGGGCGCAAGCCUGAUCCAGCCAUACCGCGUGGGUGAAGAAGGCCUUCGGGUUGUAAAGCCCUUUUGUUGGGAAAGAAAUCCAGCUGGUUAAUACCCGGUUGGGAUGACGGUACCCAAAGAAUAAGCACCGGCUAACUUCGUGCCAGCAGCCGCGGUAA